This 631-nucleotide ribosomal RNA is filed under the name uncultured organism. Its description in RNAcentral is "bacterial SSU rRNA". It matches the Rfam family "Bacterial small subunit ribosomal RNA", at positions 59 to 659 of the family's 1533-position model. The record is from RNAcentral.
AAGUCGUGCGAGAAAAUCCUGCUUCGGUGGGGUGAGUAGAGCGGCAAACGGGUGAGUAACACGUAAGGAAUCUACCUCCAAGUCCGGAAUAGCUCUGCCAACGCGGAGUUAAUGCCGGAUUGUGGUUAUCGGGUCGCAUGGCCUGGUGACUGAAGGUGACCUCUUCGUCUGAAAGUUAUCGCUUGGAGAUGACCUUGCGGCCCAUUAGCUUGUUGGCGGGGUAACGGCCCACCAAGGCUACGAUGGGUAGCCGGCCUGAGAGGGUGAACGGCCACAUUGGGAGUGAGACACGGCCCAGACUCCUACGGGAGGCAGCAGUAGGGAAUUUUGCGCAAUGGGCGAAAGCCUGACGCAGCAACGCCGCGUGAGGGAUGAAGGUCUUCGGGUUGUAAACCUCUGUUGAGUGGGAAGAAACGCAUCGAGGCUAAUAUCUUCGGUGUCUGACGGUACCAUUCGAGGAAGCCCCGGCUAACUACGUGCCAGCAGCCGCGGUAAUACGUAGGGGGCUAGCGUUGUUCGGAAUCACUGGGCGUAAAGGGAGUGUAGGCGGAGAUGCAAGUCAGAAGUGUAACCUACGGGCUCAAGCCGUAGCUUGCUUCUGAUACUGUGUCUCUUGAGUAGUGGAGGGGGA